AUAGCCUAACGGCUGAACCAGCAACUUGCAAGAAUGUAUAGCAAUAGCUAUUUGCACUAAAAAUGUUUAGUGUGAAAUCGACUAUGUCGAAUAAAAUUCUGGGUAGAAUUAUGAUAAUGACAUUAGCUAUUCAUAAGUCUUGACCAAAUUACGUGCCAGCAGUCGCGGCAAUACGUAGAAGCCAAGUGUUAUUCAUCUUUAAUAGGUUUAAAGGGUACUUAGACGGUAAAUAAAGCCUUUAAAGGGUACUAGUUUGCUAGAGUUUUAUAUGAAGGGGUUUUAAAGUACUGCUGGUGUAGAGAUGAAAUUCAGUUAUACCUUACAUGGCACAGGUUAAGGCGAAGGCAUCUUCUUAUGUAAAAACUGACGUUGAAGGACGAAGGCUUUGUGUCUCGAACAGGAUUAGAUACCCUAGUAGUCUAAGCAGAAAAUGAUGAAUGUCAUAGAUUAGAUAUAAUUUGAUCUAUAAAUGAAAGUGUAAGCAUUCCACCUCAAGAGUAAUUUGGCAACAUUGGAACUGAAAUCAUUAGACCGUUUCUGAAACCAGUAGUGAUGUAUGUUGUUUAAUUUGAUAAUCCGCAAAAAACCUUACCACAACUUGAAUAGAUAUAUUUUAUCAUACAAGCGCUGCACGGCUGUCUUUAGUUAAUGUCGUGAGACUUUGGUUAGUUCCAUUAAAUUAACGUAAACCCUUACUUUAUUUUUAUAUAAAGUAGUUCACCGCUAUAUUGGAUGUGAUAACAGGGAUCAAGACAAGUCAUCAUGGCCUAAAUAUUGU
This 778-nucleotide ribosomal RNA is filed under the name Massjukiella tenax. Its description in RNAcentral is "mitochondrial SSU rRNA". It matches the Rfam family "Bacterial small subunit ribosomal RNA", at positions 371 to 1210 of the family's 1533-position model. Lineage: Eukaryota; Fungi; Ascomycota; Lecanoromycetes; Teloschistales; Teloschistaceae. The record is from RNAcentral.